GUACUUGGAAUGCGUAACUUGUCAUUUUAGGUAUAGACAGCAGAAAAGAACUGAUCAUCCAUCUAUUCAGCUAAGUGAGAUGGAGUGUGGCAGACAUGAAUUAAGGAUUUUCAACUGGGACUCAGGAUGCAUGAAUGAUUUGUGGAGCGAAGGUAGCUGAUGGAUUCUAGACGAUGGCCGACAAGGGUCUGCACAUGCCACUCCAAAUUGUUGAUUUCACCACGCCAUAUUACUUCACAUGAGCACACGUGCAACAGCCUGGAGCUGCACUAUCGGCACCGCCACCACAUCAUAGAGGUGGUAACAGGAGCAGCGGAUCCAGCAAGGGACGGCAAGGCAAUGACAAUGUCCAUGGUCGCCGGUAUCAUCCAUAUUGAUUUAUCUUUGAUGACCCAGCGCCUACUAGAUUUCAGGUAGCCCAUCUGUCUUCUGUACUGUACCUAUACUUUGGUUUUGUUGAAGGUUUUGUAUAAAGCCAGCAAUUGAUCUGUUUAAAAAAU
Magnolia sinica is the source of this 500-nucleotide long non-coding RNA. RefSeq lists it as uncharacterized. NCBI's taxonomy places the organism in Eukaryota, Viridiplantae, Streptophyta, Magnoliopsida, Magnoliales, Magnoliaceae. The record is from RefSeq and is a predicted model, not a curated record. The transcript is spliced from 3 exons.